CCUACGGGUGGCAGCAGUGAGGAAUAUUGGUCAAUGGUCGGGAGACUGAACCAGCCAAGCCGCGUGAGGGAUGAAGGUACAGAGUAUCGUAAACCUCUUUUGUCAGGGAACAAAGGCGGGGACGUGUCCCCGGAUGAGUGUACCUGAAGAAAAAGCAUCGGCUAACUCCGUGCCAGCAGCCGCGGUAAUACGGAGGAUGCGAGCGUUAUUCGGAUUUAUGGGGGUGAAAGGGGGCGCAGGCGGUCUGUUAAGUCAGCGGUUAAAGCCCCGGGCACAACCCCGGCCCCGCCGUUGAAACUGGCAGUCUCGAGUUGGAGAGAAGUAUGCGGAAUGCGCGGUGUAGCGGUGAAAUGCAUAGAUAUCGCGCAGAACUCCGGUUGCGAAGGCAGCAUGCCGGCUCCACACUGACGCUGAGGCACGAAAGCGUGGGUAUCGAACAGGAUUAGAUACCCGGGUAGUC
RNAcentral lists this ribosomal RNA (460 nucleotides) under uncultured bacterium. RNAcentral describes it as "partial 16S ribosomal RNA". It matches the Rfam family "Bacterial small subunit ribosomal RNA", at positions 338 to 795 of the family's 1533-position model. The record is from RNAcentral.